This 459-nucleotide ribosomal RNA is filed under the name uncultured bacterium. RNAcentral's name for it is "partial 16S ribosomal RNA". It matches the Rfam family "Bacterial small subunit ribosomal RNA", at positions 338 to 795 of the family's 1533-position model. The record is from RNAcentral.
CCUACGGGCGGCAGCAGUGAGGAAUAUUGGUCAAUGGUCGGGAGACUGAACCAGCCAAGUCGCGUGAGGGAUGACGGCACUAUGGAUCGUAAACCUCUUUUGUCAGGGAACAAAGGGCGGGACGUGUGCGCGUAUGAGUGUACCCGGAGAAAAAGCAUCGGCUAACUCCGUGCCAGCAGCCGCGGUAAUACGGAGGAUGCGAGCGUUAUCCGGAUUUAUUGGGUUUAAAGGGUGCGUAGGCGGACGGUUAAGUCAGCGGUAAAAGCGCGGGGCUCAACCCCGGCGAGCCGUUGAAACUGGGAGUCUCGAGUUGGAGAGAAGUAUGCGGAAUGCGUGGUGUAGCGGUGAAAUGCAUAGAUAUCGCGCAGAACUCCGAUUGCGAAGGCAGCAUGCCGGCGCCAAACUGACGCUGAAGCACGAAAGCGUGGGUAUCGAACAGGAUUAGAUACCCGUGUAGUC